GCGCCGCUAGCUCAGUUGGUAGAGCAGCUGACUCUUAAUCAGCGGGUCCGGGGUUCGAGUCCCUGGCGGCGUACCA
Molecule: transfer RNA, 76 nt
Filed under: Planctomycetota bacterium
Lineage: Bacteria; Pseudomonadati; Planctomycetota
Description: Planctomycetes bacterium (freshwater sediment metagenome) tRNA-Lys
Rfam family: tRNA
About the family: Transfer RNA (tRNA) molecules are approximately 80 nucleotides in length. Their secondary structure includes four short double-helical elements and three loops (D, anti-codon, and T loops).
Source: RNAcentral